RNAcentral lists this ribosomal RNA (817 nucleotides) under Acrobeloides sp. N1. RNAcentral's name for it is "SSU rRNA". It matches the Rfam family "Eukaryotic small subunit ribosomal RNA", at positions 95 to 921 of the family's 1831-position model. Lineage: Eukaryota; Metazoa; Nematoda; Chromadorea; Rhabditida; Cephalobidae. The record is from RNAcentral.
GGCUCAUUAUAGAGCUAUAAUUUACUUGAUGUUGACACAAUCCUACUUGGAUAACUGUGGUAAUUCUAGAGCUAAUACAUGCAUUAAGCUCUGACCUCACGGGAAGAGUGCAUUUAUUACAACAAAACCAAGCGGCUUCGGCUGUUUCUGGUUGACUCAUAGUAACUGAGCUGAUCGCAUGGUCUUGCACCGGCGACGUGUCUUUCAAGUAUCUGCCGUAUCAACUUUCGAUGGUAGUGUAUCUGACUACCAUGGUGAUCACGCGUAACGGAGAAUAAGGGUUCGGCUCCGGAGAGUUCGCCUGAGAAUCGCGAACACAUCUAAGGAAGGCAGCAGGCGCGAAAAUUACCCACUCUCAGCACGAGGAGGUAGUGACGAAAAAUAACGAGACCGUUCUCUUAUGAGGCCGGUCAUCGGAAUGGGUACAAUUUAAACCCUUUAACGAGUAUCUAUGAGAGGGCAAGUCUGGUGCCCGCAGCCGCGGUAAUUCCAGCUCUCAAAGUGCAUAGAAUUAUUGCUGCGGUUAAAAAGCUCGUAGUUGGAUCUGUGCCAUAGGACGUGGUCCACCUUCGGGUGCGUACUACGCUCCUAGGCUUUUUGCUGGUUUUCCCGUCGUAGCCUUCACUGGUUGCGGCGGGUGGCUGGCGAGUUUACUUUGAGAAAAUCAGAGUGCUCAAUACAGGCGUAUCGCUUGAAUGAUUGUGCAUGGAAUAAUAGAAAAGGAUUUCGGUCCUCUUUUAUUGGUUUUGUGGACUGAGAUAAUGGUUAACAGGGACAAACGGGGGCAUUCGUAUCUCUGCGUGAGAGGUGAAUUCUG